This 497-nucleotide ribosomal RNA is filed under the name uncultured bacterium. RNAcentral describes it as "partial 16S ribosomal RNA". It matches the Rfam family "Bacterial small subunit ribosomal RNA", at positions 28 to 507 of the family's 1533-position model. The record is from RNAcentral.
GAUGAACGCUGGCGGCGUGCCUAAUACAUGCAAGUCGAGCGAACAGACGAGGAGCUUGCUCCUCUGAUGUUAGCGGCGGACGGGUGAGUAACACGUGGAUAACCUACCUAUAAGACUGGGAUAACUUCGGGAAACCGGAGCUAAUACCGGAUAACAUGUUGAACCGCAUGGUUCAACAGUGAAAGACGGUUUUGCUGUCACUUAUAGAUGGAUCCGCGCUGCAUUAGCUAGUUGGUAAGGUAACGGCUUACCAAGGCAACGAUGCGUAGCCGACCUGAGAGGGUGAUCGGCCACACUGGAACUGAGACACGGUCCAGACUCCUACGGGAGGCAGCAGUAGGGAAUCUUCCGCAAUGGGCGAAAGCCUGACGGAGCAACGCCGCGUGAGUGAAGAAGGUCUUCGGAUCGUAAAACUCUGUUAUUAGGGAAGAACAAAUGUGUAAGUAACUAUGCACGUCUUGACGGUACCUAAUCAGAAAGCCACGGCUAACUACGUG